AGUGAACGCUGGCGGUAGGCCUAACACAUGCAAGUCGAACGGCAGCACAGUAAGAGCUUGCUCUUACGGGUGGCGAGUGGCGGACGGGUGAGGAAUACAUCGGAAUCUACUUUUUCGUGGGGGAUAACGUAGGGAAACUUACGCUAAUACCGCAUACGACCUACGGGUGAAAGCAGGGGAUCUUCGGACCUUGCGCGAUUGAAUGAGCCGAUGUCGGAUUAGCUAGUUGGCGGGGUAAAGGCCCACCAAGGCGACGAUCCGUAGCUGGUCUGAGAGGAUGAUCAGCCACACUGGAACUGAGACACGGUCCAGACUCCUACGGGAGGCAGCAGUGGGGAAUAUUGGACAAUGGGCGCAAGCCUGAUCCAGCCAUACCGCGUGGGUGAAGAAGGCCUUCGGGUUGUAAAGCCCUUUUGUUGGGAAAGAAAGGCAGCAGGUUAAUACCCCGCUGUUCUGACGGUACCCAAAGAAUAAGCACCGGCUAACUUCGG
RNAcentral lists this ribosomal RNA (491 nucleotides) under uncultured bacterium. Its description in RNAcentral is "partial 16S ribosomal RNA". It matches the Rfam family "Bacterial small subunit ribosomal RNA", at positions 29 to 506 of the family's 1533-position model. The record is from RNAcentral.